Molecule: transfer RNA, 91 nt
Filed under: Verticillium alfalfae VaMs.102
Lineage: Eukaryota; Fungi; Ascomycota; Sordariomycetes; Glomerellales; Plectosphaerellaceae
Also listed under: 1 other name
Description: tRNA-Val
Rfam family: tRNA
About the family: Transfer RNA (tRNA) molecules are approximately 80 nucleotides in length. Their secondary structure includes four short double-helical elements and three loops (D, anti-codon, and T loops). Further hydrogen bonds mediate the characteristic L-shaped molecular structure. tRNAs have two regions of fundamental functional importance: the anti-codon, which is responsible for specific mRNA codon recognition, and the 3' end, to which the tRNAs corresponding amino acid is attached (by aminoacyl-tRNA synthetases). tRNAs cope with the degeneracy of the genetic code in two manners: having more than one tRNA (with a specific anti-codon) for a particular amino acid; and 'wobble' base-pairing, i.e. permitting non-standard base-pairing at the 3rd anti-codon position.
Source: RNAcentral
GGUUCGGUGGUGUAGUUGGUUUAUCACGUCAGUCUAACAUCUGUUCCGCAGAGUUCACUGAAGGUCGGGAGUUCGAGCCUCCCCUGAAUCA